This is a long non-coding RNA of Spinacia oleracea (spinach), 1206 nucleotides long. RefSeq lists it as uncharacterized. The transcript is spliced from 3 exons. Lineage: Eukaryota; Viridiplantae; Streptophyta; Magnoliopsida; Caryophyllales; Amaranthaceae. The record is from RefSeq and is a predicted model, not a curated record.
UGCUUUCUCUCUCCUCCCUUCACUCAAAAAUCUCAAAACUUCGGUUCUCUCUCAUUUUCUCCCGCGACGAAAGCCGCAACCAUGGAGGAAUACGAUGACACCGACAAUAAAGCAUCUGUUCUUAAUUUCGCCACCGACGAGAAAAUCUAGAGGCAGAAUGGAUUUGGGGAUGGGUGCGGUGUGUGCAGCACAUAAUUUUGACGCGGUGGUUGUCGGAGCUGGGAUUAUUGGGUUGAACUAGCUAGGGAUCUUCUUCUCUGGUCUGAUCUAUCUACCGUCGUCGUCGAUGCCUCCCUGCUCCAGUGCUACGUGUGCCGUAUCAUCCGGAUGUAUGCAGAGGAGACAAUUGGUCAAACAGUUUCCACCAGAUCAGCGAAGCUUAUGAUUGCGUACUAGAAAACCGUACUAGAAACCUGUAGUGAAGAUAUAUGAACUCACUCUCCAACUCGCUCCCUCUCUGCUGCUCCUACUUCUUCCAAGUAUUAUUUUUUUUAUUUUUUUUAUUUUUUUUUAAAGAUUUUUUAUUAUAACCCAUUUCCCUCUUGCUAAAUUGAUUAAUAACCUUUUAUAUUUGUGAUUUUUUAUUUUUUAUUUUAUUUUUAUUGGACCGUGAGUUGUGACCAUUGUCUGAAUUAAGUUUGAUUUUGGGAGUUUCUUGAUUGAAGUUUGGGAGUGAUCAUCUGCUAAUUUGAGCAUUUUUUUGUGUUUGUGGAUUUUUCCUUUUUCCCUUUUCCUUAAAAAGAAAAUUUUUGGUGGUGAUAUCAUUAUUUUUGUACUGUUACUGAACAGAUUUACACUAUAGUAAACCUGGUCCAUGCUAUGGACCAGGGUAUUAUAGUCUUUGCGUUGUUGCGUGCGAGAAGUUGUGCGUAACUGCCACGUGCUUUCCUAAUUAUAUAUAUGUUUUUUUUUUAUUUCCUUUUUCCCGGCUUUUGAACUUCUCACUCAACUUCUCUCUCUAAACUGCUUUCGAACUUCUCUCUGAAUUUCUCUCUCCAUUUCAAAUUUAAUUUCAGUGAUUAUUUUCAUCCAUUUGCAUCAAAUUACUCUUCCGAUCUUCUUUUUUCUAAAAAAUGGUGAAGAAAGCGGCACCGAAGAAUCCUGCAGCGAAGAAACCGGCAGCGAAGAAACUUGAAUUCGACAAUUCCGUCGCUGAAAUGGCUGUUGAAGCUCCUCGAAGGCGAGGAAGAAGGCCAAAUGUUGUUU